This 77-nucleotide transfer RNA is filed under the name Candidatus Roizmanbacteria bacterium. RNAcentral's name for it is "tRNA-Glu". It matches the Rfam family "tRNA". Rfam says of the family: Transfer RNA (tRNA) molecules are approximately 80 nucleotides in length. Lineage: Bacteria; Candidatus Roizmaniibacteriota. The record is from RNAcentral.
GGCCCCGUCGUCUAGCGGCCUAGGACGCUAGGUUCUCAUCCUAGAAAUCACGGGUUCAAAUCCCGUCGGGGUCACCA